This 366-nucleotide ribosomal RNA is filed under the name uncultured bacterium. RNAcentral describes it as "partial 16S ribosomal RNA". It matches the Rfam family "Bacterial small subunit ribosomal RNA", at positions 338 to 696 of the family's 1533-position model. The record is from RNAcentral.
CCUACGGGCGGCAGCAGUAGGGAAUCUUCCACAAUGGGCGGAAGCCUGAUGGAGCAACGCCGCGUGGGUGAAGAAGGUCUUCGGAUCGUAAAACCCUGUUUUUCGAGAAGAAAAUGCGUGAGAGUAACUGUUCACGUUUCUACGGUAUCUAACCAGAAAGCCACGGCUAACUACGUGCCAGGAGCCGCGGUAAUACGUAGGUGGCAGGCGUUAUCCGGUUUUAUUGGGGGUAAAUGGAGCGCAGGCGGUCUUUUAAAUCUGAUGGGAAAGCCUUCGGCUUAACCGGAGUAGUGCAUUGGAAACUGGGAGACUUGAGUGCAGAAGAGGAGAGUGGAACUCGAUGUGUAGCGGUGAAAUGCGUAGAUA